Long non-coding RNA from Archocentrus centrarchus (flier cichlid), 260 nucleotides. RefSeq lists it as uncharacterized. The transcript has 3 exons. The record is from RefSeq and is a predicted model, not a curated record. NCBI's taxonomy places the organism in Eukaryota, Metazoa, Chordata, Actinopteri, Cichliformes, Cichlidae.
UUGUGGACAAGUGUGCUAAAAUUUUUAUUAUUUUUUGUUCUUAAAGGUCCGGGUGAAGAUGCAGUGGAAGUGCAAAUACUGAUUCUUUGAGAGCUUUGGAGUGGACAAGUUCUGCAGGUUCUGCAUGGCAACGAGGAGUGAGAUCCAAGACAAGGAGAUGGCAGCACACCAGAAGAUGACCUUGAGAGUAAUUUUCACAGAGACAGAUAUAAGAAAGGUUGUUCUGAAUACAAGACCUACUACAGUGGAGGAUUUGAUAG